UAGCUAUUUAGGUUAGAGUUUGAUCAUGGCUCAGGACGAACGCUGGCGGCGUGCUUAACACAUGCAAGUCGAACGCGAGUCUUUUCUUCGGAGGAGGGCUCGAGUGGCGGACGGGUGAGUAACACGUGAAUAACCUGCCUGGGUGUGGGGGAUAGCCUUCAGAAAUGAGGGAUAAUACCGCAUAUAUUCGUGAAUUUGGGAGACCGAAAGCGCGAAGGAAGCUAUUGCGUCGCAGGGCGUGAUGGCGCAGCCAGAGGGGUUCGCGGCCGAUUAGCUAGUUGGUGUGGUAAGAGCGCACCAAGGCGACGAUCGGUAGCUGGUCUGAGAGGAUGGUCAGCCACACUGGGAUUGAGAACGGCCCAGACUCCUACGGGGGGCAGCAGUGAGGGAUCUUCGGCAAUGGGGGCAACCCUGACCGAGCAACGCCGCGUGCGGGACGACGCCUUUCGGGGUGUAAACCGCUUUUCUGGGGGACGAGGGAGUACGGACGGUACCCCAGGAAGAAGUCUCGGCUAACUACGUGCCAGCAGCCGCGGUAAUGUCGGGCCCA
This 550-nucleotide ribosomal RNA is filed under the name uncultured bacterium. Its description in RNAcentral is "bacterial SSU rRNA". It matches the Rfam family "Bacterial small subunit ribosomal RNA", at positions 1 to 536 of the family's 1533-position model. The record is from RNAcentral.